AGUGGCGUACGGGUGAGUAACACGUGACUAACCUUCCUUCGAGUGGGGAAUAACCUCGGGAAACCAGGGCUAAUACCGCAUAACAUCCUAGGGUGAAACUCCCUUGGAUCAAAGGGGUAAGACGCUUGAAGAGGGGGUCGCGGCUGAUUAGUUAGUUGGCGGGGUAACGGCCCACCAAGACGAUGAUCAGUAUCCGGCCUGAGAGGGCGCACGGACACACUGGAACUGAAACACGGUCCAGACUCCUACGGGAGGCAGCAGUGGGGAAUUUUGCGCAAUGGGGGAAACCCUGACGCAGCAACGCCGCGUGGAGGAUGAAGUCCCUUGGGAUGUAAACUCCUUUCGACUGGGAAGAAACUGACGGUACCAGUGGAAGAAGCCCCGGCUAACUUCGUGCCAGCAGCCGCGGUAAUACGAGGGGGGCAAGCGUUGUUCGGAAUUAUUGGGCGUAAAGGGUGCGUAGGCUGUGCGGUAAGUCACCUGUGAAAACUCUGGGCUCAACCCAGAGCCUGCAGGCGA
RNAcentral lists this ribosomal RNA (519 nucleotides) under uncultured bacterium. Its description in RNAcentral is "bacterial SSU rRNA". It matches the Rfam family "Bacterial small subunit ribosomal RNA", at positions 94 to 630 of the family's 1533-position model. The record is from RNAcentral.